AAUUCAACAAGUUCUGGAGUGUAUUUAUUCAGAUUUAUAACCAGUUUGACAGGUGGGCGUUGGGUAUCUUAUCCAGGAGCAACUGUUAUAGUCACAGAUUUAAAAGUGUCCAUGAUGAAGUUCGGAGACAAUGAAAACAUAACAGUUGGAGACUCUUUGAAUUUGACAUGCACUGUGUCCUGCCCUGGUCAUUUAGCAGAGCUUCAAUGGUUUAAGGGUCAUCAGACAAUACCACGUUCAGGCCCCAUCCUCACCUUCAGAAGUGUGACUCCUGAAGACUCUGGGAAUUACUCUUGUUCUUUAAAAAACUUUAAAUCAAGCGAAUCAGAACAAAUCAGACUGUAUGUUAAAGACACUUCUGGGCCUACAACAUAUUUUGGGGUUGUGAUUAUUGAAGCGUGUUUCUUGAUUAUUUUCAUUGUUGCAGCUGUGAUACUUCUAACAAGGCCAGCCAACACUGAGCAACAAAUGAAAGAUUCAUCCAUAUAUACUACAGUGAAAUUUUAUGAAGUUAAAGGAGAAAUGUUAACAGACCACAUAUACCAUAAUUAAUGCGAGUGAACCCAUUUAUCCCACUACCAGGUGGCACCCUCUCCCAAACUAGAAUAUGGAUACACACUCUUCUUUUACAGUUACUUCCUCUUCUUAUAUAUUUACUGUAAGCCAUGUCAUUUUUGUUCUCAUUGUGAAGUAUUUUCAGUUCUAUCUGCGUAUAGAGCAUUCAUAGCCAUAUUAGCCAUUGUUCCAUGACUGAUUACUGGAUUACCCUUUUGCUUGUU
Molecule: non-coding RNA, 779 nt
Organism: Paramisgurnus dabryanus
Lineage: Eukaryota; Metazoa; Chordata; Actinopteri; Cypriniformes; Cobitidae
Source: RefSeq, a predicted model, not a curated record